AUUGAACGCUGGCGGAAUGCUUUACACAUGCAAGUCGAACGGCAGCACGGACUUCGGUCUGGUGGCGAGUGGCGAACGGGUGAGUAAUGUAUCGGAACGUGCCCAGGCGUGGGGGAUAACGUAGUGAAAAUUACGCUAAUACCGCAUACGAGCUAUGGAUGUAAGCGGGGGAUCGCAAGACAUAGCGCGAUUGGAGCGGCCGAGAUCAGAUUAGGUAGUUGGUGGGGGAAAGGCCCACCAAGCCAACGAUCUGUAGCUGGUCUGAGAGGGACGACCAGCCACACUGGAACUGAGACACGGUCCAGACUCCUACGGGAGGCAGCAGUGGGGAAUUUUGGACAAUGGGCGAAAGCCUGAUCCAGCCAUUCCGCGUGCAGGAUGAAGGCCCUCGGGUUGUAAACUGCUUUUGUACAGAACGAAAAGGUUUCUACUAAUACUAGGAGCUCAUGACGGUACUGUAAGAAUAAGCACCGGCUAACUACGUGCCAGCCGCCGCCGUAA
This 501-nucleotide ribosomal RNA is filed under the name uncultured bacterium. Its description in RNAcentral is "partial 16S ribosomal RNA". It matches the Rfam family "Bacterial small subunit ribosomal RNA", at positions 30 to 523 of the family's 1533-position model. The record is from RNAcentral.